Molecule: ribosomal RNA, 508 nt
Filed under: uncultured fungus
Lineage: Eukaryota; Fungi
Description: eukaryotic LSU rRNA
Rfam family: 5.8S ribosomal RNA (bases 171-312)
Source: RNAcentral
UCUAUGUAGCUACUUGGUCAUUUAGAGGAAGUAAAAGUCGUAACAAGGUUUCCGUAGGUGAACCUGCGGAAGGAUCAUUAUUGAAUGUUGGUUAAUACACUGUGAACUGUCUCUUCGGAGCUAUAUAAACUCGUCUUGUUGUAAUUGCAUGUCUAAUACAAACAAAAUAUAACUUUUAACAACGGAUCUCUUGGCUCUCGCAUCGAUGAAGAACGCAGCGAAAUGCGAUAUGUAAUGUGAAUUGCAGAAUAGUGAAUCAUCGAAUCUUUGAACGCACCUUGCGCCUUUCGAGGCAUGCUGGUUUGAGCGCCUUAUAACCCUGGACUAUCAGCUUGCUGUUAGACCGAUUUGAGUGUUGCCGUAGGCUCGCUCUGAAUGCAUUAGCGAUUGAAGGCUUGUAACAGUGUAAUAAGAUUCCAUUGAAGCAAGUCCAGACCGCUCCUAACCGUCGUAAGACAACGCCUCCGGGCACCAUGACUAGGCAUCAAAGUAGUAGGACUACCCGCUG